GAAACGCUGGCGGCGUGCUUAAACACAUGCAAAGUCGAAAACGGAGUUAAAUUUGAGGAAAGCAAAGCUUGCUUGAAGAGUUAAAUUAACUUAGUGGCGGACGGGCGAGUAACACGUGAGCAACCUGCCUCUUACAGGGGAAUAACAACGGGAAACCGUUGCUAAUACCGCAUAACAUGUUGAAAGGGCAUCCUUUAACAUCAAAGGAGCAAUCCGGUAAGAGAUGGGCUCGCGUCCGAUUAGCUAGUUGGUAGGGUAACGGCCCUACCCAAGGCGACGAUCGGUAGCCGGACUGAGAGGUCGAACGGCCGCAUUGGGACUGAGACACGGCCCCAGACUCCUACGGGAGGCAGCAGUGGGGAAUAUUGGGCAAUGGGCGAAAGCCUGACCCCAGCAACGCCGCGUGAGUGAUGAAGGCCUUCGGGUUGUAAAACUCUUUGGACAGGGACGAAGAAAGUGACGGUACCUGUAGAACAAGCCACGGCUAACUACGUGCCAGCAGCCGCGGUAAU
Molecule: ribosomal RNA, 512 nt
Filed under: uncultured Oscillospiraceae bacterium
Lineage: Bacteria; Bacillati; Bacillota; Clostridia; Eubacteriales; Oscillospiraceae
Description: bacterial SSU rRNA
Rfam family: Bacterial small subunit ribosomal RNA
Source: RNAcentral